This 120-nucleotide ribosomal RNA is filed under the name Vibrio parahaemolyticus. RNAcentral's name for it is "partial 16S ribosomal RNA". It matches the Rfam family "Bacterial small subunit ribosomal RNA", at positions 1423 to 1533 of the family's 1533-position model. Lineage: Bacteria; Pseudomonadati; Pseudomonadota; Gammaproteobacteria; Vibrionales; Vibrionaceae. The record is from RNAcentral.
GAAGUAGGUAGUUUAACCUUCGGGGGGACGCUUACCACUUUGUGGUUCAUGACUGGGGUGAAGUCGUAACAAGGUAGCGCUAGGGGAACCUGGCGCUGGAUCACCUCCUUAUACGAUGAU